RNAcentral lists this long non-coding RNA (2821 nucleotides) under Homo sapiens (human). RNAcentral's name for it is "HSALNT0013258". The record is from RNAcentral. Lineage: Eukaryota; Metazoa; Chordata; Mammalia; Primates; Hominidae.
CUCCAAGACAUAGUUGAAGCUCCAGCCUCAGUGGCCAACACUGAUGGCCCACCCAUGCCUGCUGCUCCUCUAAAGAACUGCUAAAAUUCCCUGCACACACCUUCACACACACAGGUGCAGAAGCCAAAUCAGAUGGGUAGUAAAACACACCUUCAUCUGUCAACAUGCCAUGUCAUUGGAUUCAAAUGGUAAAAGUGAGUUUGGGGAGGCCAUUGACAGCUAAGGGCCUUCAGCUCAUCAAAGGGAAAAAACAAAAAUUCCUAGUAUCUAAUCUAAGUCUUAACACAGGCUAUUUUGAGCUUCCCUUUGAGUUAACCUUUAAGGGUGUAUAUGCCCAAGGAAUCCUAGGUGAAACUGUAGUGCAAUUGCAUAGGAAUAUCUGACGGAGAGAGGGCUGAAACACAUUCCUGUGAUGUUAGCAAGUUUGUUCCCAGAGCGUCUAAAGGGGAAGCAGAAGAUAUUCAUCCUCAGAUGCUCACAGCCACUGACAAAGCACCCAGCAACAUGGUGGCAAUGAGAAUGGCAUUGCUGUUUGAUGGGCUUGGGAUGGAAUCCUGGCUCUGUCAUUUACUCAGCAUGGGACCUGGUGACCCUUGGAAAAGUUAGAGUCAGGUGCCACCAACUCAGUUUCCUCAAUUAUACAAUAGUAAUUAAAAUGCCCACCUCAUAGUGGUACUUCGUGAAUGAAAGAAAGAUGAUGCAUGCAGAGUGCUUACCAGUGACUGGCAGGUAAAAACUCACUAAAUGGUAGCUGUUUUAAUAUUGUGCUUCAGAACUAACUUUCUAGUAAGUGGCCCUUUACAUAAGGACCCAAAUGAACAUAAGCAUAAGUUAAAUUCCAUUUUCAUCCUCCAAAUAUCUGUUAGCAAAGGAAGCGGGGACAUCUAGGCAAAACGUGGAUUAAAGAAUGUCGUUUCUUAUCACUUCAUUUAGGUCAUGGUACAAGCUGAAGGUAAAAAGUAUCUAUAGGGGUGCAUUCUGAUAGCCUGUCAUUCUCACCUAAGCAAAUCAGAUCCUCCCAAGUGGGGGAAGAACAGAACUUCCAAAGAUGGUCCCAGUCUAAGCCACCCACACCAAGUAAAGAGACAUUCUAAAGUUGCAGCCAAUCCUGAGAAAUAGCCACAUUGGCUAUCUCUUAUGGGGCCACCUGGUAUCAUCUUGAUUCUUAAUGAGAAUGACCGGUCAUUCAGGGACUGGGCUCCCCAUGCAUAGGUAACCCCCCAAACUUCUAAAAUCAUCUCGCUAAAAGAGAACUGAACUCUUAUAUUUCAACCACAGCAUAGGCACCUAAUCCCACCUACCAAAUUAUAAUCAUUUUGCAUCAGCCAUUUCCAUACUUGUGGCCUGUAAGUUUCAAUUACUUUAGGGGACAGUCAAGUAACAAAGAAGGAGAGUUUCUUUAUAAGAAGGCCUCCAUUAUGGAGCUUCUGUCUCAGAAAAGCAGUCAUCCUGCCAAGACCCUACUAGAGCAUAUAGUUCAUAAAUGUUUAUUGAGCAGUUGACUGAUUCAUUGAUUCAUAAAUGUAGUUAUUCAACAAAUGCAUACUGGGCACUUACUUCUGCAAGGCUCAAAGGCCAGAGAUGAUUAAGAGACAGUCCCUGAUCUAAAGAAACUCAAAAUCUAAUGGAAGAGUAUAAAAAAGCUGACAAUAAUAUUAGGAAGAACAAAAUACAUACUCCAGAUGAGCUGCAAGUGAAUUGCUGUGAAAGCUCAGCGGGAGGAGCAGUUUCCCGGCAUAGAGAAAACACUCAAUAAGAUGCUGGUAAAUGAAGGCUGAUGGAGCUGGUGAGCGCUUGGCUACUGGUGAAAUACUGGCUCCCAGACAUGCUCUGCAAAGCAGCCUCAUCUUGGCCCACUCCACUUCUGCACCACCUCUGCCCACCACAGACCCCCACCUGAGGCCCUGUGAUGGGCUCUGACCUUAGCAGAGCUGGCCUGAUUCCUUGCAGCAUUCUGAGCUCUUCCUCUCUCUAUUGAAUGCAGGCCAAGCAUUGAUCUUCCAGCAUCAUCAACAUGCCACAUCACUUUGCAAAACCUGCAUCUUACAGGCUAAGCUAAUAACCCCCAAGGGAUCUUAGGCAGGAGGCUCAGGUUGCAGAAAAAUUGGUUCAGUUCUGAGCCCUGUUGUGACUAAUAUUUUCUACCUUCUAUUAAAUGAGGAUCUUAUCAAUCUGGGGGCUUCUUUUGCUCUGCAUAGGAAAUUGAAUAGAGAGAAGUACAAGACAGCAAAAAGGGGAAGGAGUGAAACACAUAGCAGCAUCGGGAAUUUUGUCAAGAGACAUAGAAGUGCCCAGCAGUUGACAGUUUCUCUGUUGUACAAAUAGAAGCAGCCUGUUGACUUAAUACAAUAAAAUCCCAGGGGCACUCUGUGAUGUUUCAUAAUCAUGUCUGGGACUUGCAGUUUUGAGAUUUGCAAAGCUUUAUUCUAAUGGCAAAGUGGAACCAAAGCAGACCCUUUGAAAGAGGUGACCUCAGCAGCCCUGUGGGUCAGGGGAGCAGGGUGUGGCCCAGGGGACCUUGGGAAGGGUCCCCUCAAGGCAUCGGCACAAGGCAGAGGAAGGGUCAGGGUCUGUAGGGGAAGGUCUGGAUUUGGGUCCUGGCUCUCUACAAACCAGACAUAAAACCUUAGAUAAAUCACUUCACCUUUGUGAACCUCAGCCUUCUCAGUGCAGUGGUAUUGACAUUAACAACUAAUUGAUCACAAGCAGUUACAGAUUUAUUUGUUCCUUCUCCACUCCCACUCCUUCACUUGACUAUCCUUGGAAACAAAGUGGGAGUAGGCCGGACGCGGUGGCUUAUACCUGUAAUCCCAGUGCUUUG